This 361-nucleotide ribosomal RNA is filed under the name Shigella sp. FC1967. Its description in RNAcentral is "bacterial LSU rRNA". It matches the Rfam family "Bacterial large subunit ribosomal RNA", at positions 2417 to 2775 of the family's 2925-position model. The record is from RNAcentral. Lineage: Bacteria; Pseudomonadati; Pseudomonadota; Gammaproteobacteria; Enterobacterales; Enterobacteriaceae.
GAUCCGGUGGUUCUGAAUGGAAGGGCCAUCGCUCAACGGAUAAAAGGUACUCCGGGGAUAACAGGCUGAUACCGCCCAAGAGUUCAUAUCGACGGCGGUGUUUGGGCACCUCGAUGUCGGCUCAUCACAUCCUGGGGGCUGAAGUAGGUCCCAAGGGUAUGGCUGUUCGCCAUUUAAAGUGGUACGCGAGCUGGGUUUAGAACGUCGUGAGACAGUUCGGUCCCUAUCUGCCGUGGGCGUUGGAAGAUUGAGAGGGGUUGCUCCUAGUACGAGAGGACCGGAGUGAACGCACCACUGGUGUUCGGGUUGUCAUGCCAAUGGCAUUGCCCGGUAGCUAAGUGCGGAAGAGAUAACCGCUGAA